GGAUUAGAUACCCUGGUAGUCCACGCCCUAAACGAUGAGUACUAAACGUUGGAUAAAACCAGUGUUGAAGUUAACACAUUAAGUACUCCGCCUGAGUAGUACGUACGCAAGUAUGAAACUUAAAGGAAUUGACGGGACUCCGCACAAGCGGUGGAUCAUGUUGUUUAAUUCGAAGGUACCCGAAAAACCUCACCAGGUCUUGACAUGCUUUUGCAAAGCUGUAGAAAUACAGUGGAGGUUAUCAGAAGCACAGGUGGUGCAUGGUUGUCGUCAGCUCGUGUCGUGAGAUGUUGGGUUAAGUCCCGCAACGAGCGCAACCCUUGUUGUUAAUUGCCAUCAUUAAGUUGGGGACUUUAGCAAGACUGCCAAUGAUAAAUUGGAGGAAGGUGGGGACGACGUCAAAUCAUCAUGCCCCUUAUGACCUGGGCUACAAACGUGAUACAAUGG
This 447-nucleotide ribosomal RNA is filed under the name Candidatus Phytoplasma solani. RNAcentral describes it as "bacterial SSU rRNA". It matches the Rfam family "Bacterial small subunit ribosomal RNA", at positions 775 to 1233 of the family's 1533-position model. Lineage: Bacteria; Bacillati; Mycoplasmatota; Mollicutes; Acholeplasmatales; Acholeplasmataceae. The record is from RNAcentral.